AGUGAACGCUGGCGGUAGGCCUAACACAUGCAAGUCGAACGGCAGCACAGGAGAGCUUGCUCUCUGGGUGGCGAGUGGCGGACGGGUGAGGAAUACAUCGGAAUCUACUUUGUCGUGGGGGAUAACGUAGGGAAACUUACGCUAAUACCGCAUACGACCUACGGGUGAAAGCAGGGGAUCUUCGGACCUUGCGCGAUUGAAUGAGCCGAUGUCGGAUUAGCUAGUUGGCGGGGUAAAGGCCCACCAAGGCGACGAUCCGUAGCUGGUCUGAGAGGAUGAUCAGCCACACUGGAACUGAGACACGGUCCAGACUCCUACGGGAGGCAGCAGUGGGGAAUAUUGGACAAUGGGCGCAAGCCUGAUCCAGCCAUACCGCGUGGGUGAAGAAGGCCUUCGGGUUGUAAAGCCCUUUUGUUGGGAAAGAAAUCCAGCCGGCUAAUACCUGGUUGGGAUGACGGUACCCAAAGAAUAAGCACCGGCUAACUUCGUGCCAGCAGCCGCGGUAGUACGAAGGGUGCAAGCGUUGCUCGGAAUUACUGGGCGUAAAGCGUGCGUAGGUGGUUAUUUAAGUCCGUUGUGAAAGCCCUGGGCUCAACCUGGGAACUGCAGUGGAUACUGGAUGACUAGAAUGUGGUGGAGGGUAGCGGAAUUCCUGGUGUAGCAGUGAAAUGCGUAGAGAUCAGGAGGAACAUCCAUGGCGAAGGCAGCUACCUGGACCAACAUUGACACUGAGGCACGAAAGCGUGGGGAGCAAACAGG
This 759-nucleotide ribosomal RNA is filed under the name uncultured Stenotrophomonas sp. RNAcentral describes it as "bacterial SSU rRNA". It matches the Rfam family "Bacterial small subunit ribosomal RNA", at positions 28 to 776 of the family's 1533-position model. The record is from RNAcentral. Lineage: Bacteria; Pseudomonadati; Pseudomonadota; Gammaproteobacteria; Lysobacterales; Lysobacteraceae.